UAGUCAUACGCUCGUCUCAAAGAUUAAGCCAUGCAUGUCUAAGUAUAAGUAUCUUAUAUUGCGAAACUGCGAAUGGCUCAUUAUAUCAGUUAUAGUUUAUUUGAUAGUAUUUUCUACUUGGAUAACCGUAGUAAUUCUAGAGCUAAUACAUGCAACAACGCCUGACUGUUUCAGAAGGGCUGUAUUUAUUAGAUACAAACCAAUGCGGGCUUGCCCGGUAUUGUGGUGAGUCAUAGUAACUAAGCGAAUCGUAUGGCCUUGCGCCGACGAUGAAUCAU
This 278-nucleotide ribosomal RNA is filed under the name uncultured eukaryote. RNAcentral's name for it is "partial 18S ribosomal RNA". It matches the Rfam family "Eukaryotic small subunit ribosomal RNA", at positions 21 to 298 of the family's 1831-position model. The record is from RNAcentral.